GACGUAGGAGGCGAGCGUUGUCCGGAAUUACUGGGCGUAAAGAGCGCGUAGGCGGCGCCAUACGACAGGGGUCAAAGCCCCCGGCUCAACCGGGGAGAUGCUCCUGUAACGGUGGUGCUCGGAGUCUGGGAGAGGGACGUGGAACUCCACGAGUAGCGGUGAAAUGUGUAGAGACGUGGAGGAACACCAGUGGCGAAGGCGGCGUCCUGGCCUAGAACUGACGCUGAGGCGCGAAAGCUAGGGGAGCAAACGGGAUUAGAUACCCCGGUAGUCCUAGCCGUAAACGAUGGACACUAGGUGUGCGUGGUAUCGACCCCACGCGUGCCGGCGCUCACGCAGGAAGUGUCCCGCCUGGGGAGUACGGCCGCAAGGCUAAA
This 377-nucleotide ribosomal RNA is filed under the name uncultured bacterium. RNAcentral's name for it is "bacterial SSU rRNA". It matches the Rfam family "Bacterial small subunit ribosomal RNA", at positions 524 to 898 of the family's 1533-position model. The record is from RNAcentral.